This is a long non-coding RNA of Macadamia integrifolia, 526 nucleotides long. RefSeq lists it as uncharacterized. The transcript has 2 exons. The record is from RefSeq and is a predicted model, not a curated record. Lineage: Eukaryota; Viridiplantae; Streptophyta; Magnoliopsida; Proteales; Proteaceae.
GUUGCCUUUUAACCAUACAACUCAAUCUAAUUUGCUGUUGAAUCUGCAGGUAAGAGUUGCAGGAUAAAGUAAUCUCUAAAAGCUGAAGGCAGGGUUUUUGAAAACUUGAGCCAACCGUUGCAAAAGGAAUAAAAGAAGCCUUCAAACGGCAGAUUUCCAUCCUUUCAUGAUCAAGGGAAGAUACAAAAUGGUGAUGAUUUGAUCACUGGAUUUAAUUCUGGCCUUGAAAUGUUGAAAUGUCACAGACCCAUUUGGCCACUUCCAAGCUUGCAAGCAUUAGCCAUGGAUUUAGAGGUAAGAGACAAAGAUGACUUUUGGGUAUUGUGGAGGAGACUCAGCUCUUGGAUGUGGUCCAAAUAGAGAGUAAUCUGAUAGUACUUAUUUCUUAAUGCUUUUAACGUGUUUGAAAUUUAGAAUAUCUCCCAGUCCAGUAAAUCUCUGGAGAAAUCUAGAUUAAUUUAAGAACGUGUGAAGACAUGGCAUUAGACGAGAUUUCUCAGCUCAAGCUUCAAUUAUUUAUCUGGUA